UAGUGUUUAUAUUUGUAGGAGGCGAUGAAGAAGAGGAUCCAGAUGAACCUACACUUUGACUAUGGAGGGUACUAUACAGCAGACCAUGAGUGAAGUUGCAAAAAUUCAAUAUACGGUAUAGUGUUUAAGACAUCAUCUUUGGAGAGAAUAACAUAUGCGGAUUUAAUAGAUAAGAUCUGUAGAAAGAUUGCUCUAGGUGGAGAGAAAAGGAAUCUGAAAUUGAGUUACAAGAUAUGUAAAGCAUGGAGAGAGUCUUAUAUUGUAGAUAAUGAGGAUGUGUUGAUAUAUUUAACGUCAUUGGAUAAAGAGGGAUUUAGACCUGUUUUGCAUGUAGAGUUAUGCAGUGAUUUGGAAAGUAAUAAUAGGCAAGUUCCAAUAGUAGAGCGAAGAAGUUCAUGCGGUGUAAAUUAUGGGGAAUUGGCUGCCAAUGUUGUAAUGGUUGCGGAUGUAAAUACAGGAAUUCUGAGUACUAAUGAACUUAUUAUUGAACUAGAGGAACAGCGUGAGACAGUUAGUGAACCUAUUAUUGAACUAGAGGAACAGCGUGAGACAGUUAGUGAACCUAUGAUGCUAGAGAAUGGAGUUUCUGAAACUGUUAUUGAACCGCUGAUGAUAGAGUGUGGGGUUAAUGAAGAUUCUGAUAAUGAUUAUGUUAGGGAAGAAUAUUGAUAAUAGGUUUUUAGUCAAUUAAUUCUAAAACACUAUCCUGUCGUUGUAGUAUUUUAGGUGUCAAUCCAAAUGAGUGUGAUACAAACAAAUGAGAUGUGAUCAGAAGUCACUAAGUCAAGCCAAGCAAUAACAGUUUUGGGGUUUCUAACAGUCCUAAGCGAACAUGCAGAAAACAGAAACAAUAACAGAAUUACUAAAAUCACUCGACUACAACAGGCUGAUGCCAGAAGUAGGAUGUGGUCGAGUAACUGGUCGAGUAACAGACAUGAUAUGAAACAGAUAUACUCGACUGCACAGUCUGUUGCCAGACACUGGGUGUGGUCGAGUAUACUGGUCGAGUAACAGACAGGAAACAAGAUAACUGUACUCGACUGCACAGUCUGUUGCCAGACACUGGGUGUGGUCGAGUAAGUUGGUUGAGUAAUUGCAAAAACUAAGAAACAAGCAAUGAGAAUGAUUAAGCGAUAACGAUAAAACAGAGAAAUAAUAUAGACGAGAAAUUCCUAAGGAUGGGGUAAUCGAGUAUAGUGGUAUCCUAGCCUAUCCGAAUGGUUAACAAGCGCAAUCAAGUUAUCCCUAGACAACAGGUUCAACAACAGAUCAAUUCACUCCCGUGAUAGAAAUCCUCAAGCAAAGCUAGCCCAGACUAAUUCCCAUUAACGGAAUCUAACUAUGCAGGCAAUAAAAACAGACUGAUAAAGUCAAUAAACGCUCUAAACGGCCAAUCCCUUGGGAUAGAGACGCAUAUCUCAGGAACUAGUGGAUCAAGCAUUUCAUCGAACACCUUCUGGGUGCUGGAAUGCUUGGGAUCGAAUUCCAGUUGAUCAGAAAGAAAUAAGCAGUAAACGCAAGUAGUCCUAAAGGGAUUCAAUCAAUUCUAAAACUUAACCACUCUACAGACUACGAAUUCCACAACUACUCUAUCCCAUCCCUAAGAAUUCUAAGUCACUACUCAGACAACAUGCUCAAAGACAUAAACGUAGAUAAAUGAUAAUAUUGCAUAAGUAAAGAGAUAAAGAGUAGAGAAACAGGAUGACAAAUGAAAUCAAAUGCGGAAUCUGAAUAACUUGGAAAAAUCUCGAAUUACAGGUUGCAGAAGCAAAAGCGGCGCAGCAGAGUAAAACAAAAAAUAAAACUGAAGCAAAAACUCAAUGUCGACUAGAUGUCUCAGGACAGAACCCUAAGACAUCUAUUUAUACAAAACGAAAUAAAAUGAUAGUAGACGGGCCAAUAACCUAAUCGCCCGGCCCACAGAGUGAUAAUGGGCCGAGAUGGGCUUCGUGAUUCGAUGGAGGUCCAGGCCGCUUCCAAACACUUUGUCUUCUCCUCUUCUCUUCCUUGUGCUUAGCUUGUCUGGUUGAGUGCGGAUUUGAGUAGACUGUGAAGACGUGAUCGAGUGUCCGGUCGAGUGAUGGUGAUGGUGGUGAGUGAUGAUACUCGACCAGGGGGUCGAGUAAUUUGGUAGAGUGAAUGGCCGAGUGUGGUCAGGUGGUGUGGCGAAGUGAUACUCGACCAGGGGGUCGAGUGGCAUCAUCGAGUGGCCUGAGCUGAGGUUACUCGACCAAGGGGUCGAGAAGAUGGGAAGAAUGGCUCCAAAGUCACUCGACCAGGGGGUCGAGUAUGGUGCUGGAUGCACACGACCUGGUGGUCGAGUAUGUCUUCUGGUUCUGCCUCGUUUCUUCCAAUUUGCUCGCAAACAGCUCCAAAUCACCUGAAAACAACUCAGAAAUGCAAUAUGUAUGCAAAGCCAUCAUAAUCAUGCAAAGUAUGCAAGAAUGAUGAGAAAUGAUAUAAAACAGUGAUGAAUGAUACGAAACUGGACUCAAAACGAUGAUGAAUGGACAUUGAAAACAUGCAUAUUAU
This 2532-nucleotide small RNA is filed under the name Arabidopsis thaliana (thale cress). RNAcentral describes it as "ATSL166150". Lineage: Eukaryota; Viridiplantae; Streptophyta; Magnoliopsida; Brassicales; Brassicaceae. The record is from RNAcentral.